UUUAACAAAAACAUGUCCUUUUGAGUUUAAUUUAAGGUCGGGCCUGCCCCCUGAUUUUCAUUAAAGGGCCGCGGUAUUUUGACCGUGCAAAGGUAGCAUAAUCAUUAGUCUUUUAAUUGAGGGCUGGAAUGAAUGGUUUGACGAAAUAUUAACUGUCUCUUUAUAAAAAAAUAAAAUUUAACUUCUGAGUCAAAAGGCUUAGAUAAAUAUAAAAGACGAGAAGACCCUAUAGAUCUUUAUAUAUGGAUAUAUUUAUUUUGUUUGGGUGUAAUUUUAAUAAAAAUAUCGUUAUAUUUUGUUGGGGUGACAUGAAGAUAAAUCUAACUCUUUAUUAUAAAUACAUUGAUUUAUGAAUGAUUGAUCCGUUAUUGGCGAUUGUAAGAUAAAGUUACCUUAGGGAUAACAGCGUAAUUUUUUUUGAGAGUUCUUAUCGACAAAAAAGGUUGCGACC
This 451-nucleotide ribosomal RNA is filed under the name Eupholidoptera annulipes. RNAcentral describes it as "partial 16S ribosomal RNA". It matches the Rfam family "Bacterial large subunit ribosomal RNA", at positions 1803 to 2525 of the family's 2925-position model. The record is from RNAcentral. Lineage: Eukaryota; Metazoa; Arthropoda; Insecta; Orthoptera; Tettigoniidae.